Paramuricea clavata is the source of this 175-nucleotide non-coding RNA. NCBI's taxonomy places the organism in Eukaryota, Metazoa, Cnidaria, Anthozoa, Malacalcyonacea, Plexauridae. The record is from the annotation of a GenBank genome assembly.
AAACUUACCGACGCGAGAGGCACCUUAAUCAACUAGGAGGUCCUCUCAGGAUGAGGCCCUUUAAUGGUACUUCGACUGGGUUGACUCGAACUGGGUUGACUGCGAUUACCCCUAAUGUGGGUAACUUGAGCGUAUAAUUUCUGGUAGUGGGGACCUGUGUUCGCGCUCGUCCCUU